AUGGCUGGUUUUGCCUUGUGAUGGGCCUGUCUGCUUCCCCAUAGGUUUUUAUUUCUGCCUUUUCUUUCUUUAUUUCUGGAGAUCCUUGCCAGUCUUUGAGGGUUUUUGUAUUAAGUCCUGGUGUGAGGAGAAACCAAGGAAGGUGCCAGUGAACUUCUUCAGCAGAUGAGGUAGAGGAAAACCUCUGGUGUGUAGCAAGAUCAUCAUCAAUGAGGAGAUCAUGAUGGUGUGUUUAACACAGAGGCGGUGAUGGUUUUUGCCACAUCUGUUACAAGUAUGUCCUAUCCAGAGCUGAUGCAAAUAACCUGCAUUCUGGCAGUAUCCCAG
Tympanuchus pallidicinctus (lesser prairie-chicken) is the source of this 327-nucleotide long non-coding RNA. RefSeq lists it as uncharacterized. The transcript is spliced from 3 exons. The record is from RefSeq and is a predicted model, not a curated record. NCBI's taxonomy places the organism in Eukaryota, Metazoa, Chordata, Aves, Galliformes, Phasianidae.